This is a long non-coding RNA of Talpa occidentalis (Iberian mole), 5549 nucleotides long. RefSeq lists it as uncharacterized. NCBI's taxonomy places the organism in Eukaryota, Metazoa, Chordata, Mammalia, Eulipotyphla, Talpidae. The transcript is spliced from 5 exons. The record is from RefSeq and is a predicted model, not a curated record.
GCAGCCCGCGCCCCGCUCUUUGGGAGAGCUCUAGUGAAGCGAGUGCUGCCGCCACCUCGGCUUCUCGAGUAGAGCAAACCCCAAGUAACGAAUACAGGGGCCAUAGCAGUACACAGUAGGGCUGUGGGAGAUUCGCCUCCGUUGCGGGGGGACGCCGCCUUGGACUACAAGUCCCAUGGGCCCUUCUCCGAGGGGACGUGCUAGGGGCGGGGCUACGCGGCCGUGAUCGACAGAUAACGGCGCCCGCCGGCGGCCUUGGUCUGAUGCUGCCUGCCGCCGCCGGUGGCCCGACGGGCAGACGCACAGUCCGUGUUACUAACCCUGUUAAUUAACAUCGGGUGAGCAGAGAAUGGUUUUGAUGAAGGCAAAUGAGGAGGGAGGCUCGUCGUCGUCGUCGUCGUCGUCGUCUCCACCAGCGAGAUUUUAAAAAACCCUGGAACCUGAAGAGGUUGUCCCAGUGGUGGAUCCUAAUGGGACCCCCCAAAAUGGAGUGGAAAGGCUGGAAUAUCGUAGGAGGUGCUUAUCGGGACUGUGGCACGGAAUUCCUAAGCAAAGGAGGUUGGGUAAGGUGUAGAACUCCAGCAAAAGGUCCAUGAGCACCCACCUGAGUUUCUUGAAAGGAUUGUUUGAGCUUAUAGUACUUUGACAUCAACCCAGAUAGUCUGGAAAGUAGAUGAUUAACAUGACAUUCAUGUGUCAGAGCACUCGGAUAUAAGGAGGGAAUCAAUCAAGACCGAAGGUGCCUUAAAGAUGAGUUCUUCCCAGCUUUAGAGUUUACAGUGGCGGAGAGUCAAGGAGACUUAAAUCUGCAGAUAUUUUCAUAGAACACAGGACAGGGUUUAGGCAGCCCAGAGAAGGGAUUUGGAGAAGUAGAAGGGAACCCUUGGAAGAUGGUGUGUCAGUGGUCAUGAAAAUCUUUCCAGAAACCCUGUGGGUUUUGCCUUGUGCUGGUAAAUAUCAGUCUCAAUGCAUUAGACCUUGGUUGAUGCAACAGAGGACACACCCAGCCUGCGGAGCCCAUGUUUACCUACGGAAUUUCCUGGUCACCCCAGCUGACACUUGCCCCAGUUCUGAUAGAGGGGGUGACUAUACAAAAGAAGUUCAGUUUUCAGACUCCAGAAUUUGCUUUUGCCUUUUGCUAUGAGCCGAGGUGUGAGGCUGUCUGCUCUCAGUAUUGUGCAAAAGAUGCUACCUAAUCUCAUCCAAGCUGCAGCCCAAGAGGACAAGACAAAUGUUCAGCAUAGGGUUCAAAGAAAAUGGAAUUUUAAAAGUUAUAUUUGAAUGUCACGUAGGUAUUUUCCAACAUAAACGUAACUGAUAGCAUGUAUCUUGGGAUAUCUUUUCUCCUUAUUCCACACACCCUUUGCCCUCCUUAAUACAUUUUAAUUUCCUGAAAUUCAAGCAAAAGUGAAGUAGUUGCCGGGCUUCAAUUUUGAACGCUGCACCAGACAUAGAAAAAGAAUGCAGAAUCAAAAAAUACGGGCAAAGAGCUUUCAGCUUUGACUCAUAACUCCGUACCUUCUAGGGCCUCUCUGCCUCCAGAUUGCAUCCUUUCAUCCUGGUGAUCAGGGCUUAAGACCUGUCAGAGUGGAGAUACCCAAGCUCAACUCAUAGAAUGUCCUCGUAAUUAGGAUGUUUUUCUAACCACUCACACUUCUUUGAAAUUUGCAGGCAUAAAAGCCUUGGGUGCAUCCCUCUAGAGUGAAGAAAGUCCUGGAAGGUGAUGACCCAGAGACCAACAUCCAUUGGUCCUACCAACUUGAAGACAAGUUAUGCUUGUUUAAGAGAAAGACGAGCUUAAGUAUUCUCUUUUCUCUUUCAGUUUCUGUUGCCCAGAUGAACCCUGGAAACCCUGCGAUAAUCUAGGGUUAUGGUCCUCGACCGAAACUUUUUUCCUUUUUCCAAAGUCUGAGGUGUGUAGGAUGACUGCUGGAACCAUGUGACCUGAUUCUCCAGCUUUAAGUAUAAUUUUUUCUCUUCUAUCUGGGUUAUUGAGGUUGAGUACGUGAAGUCUUGUAAUGUCAGAUAAUGUGGGCGUUGGGAGAUUUAAAUUUUGUUUUGAAAGUUAAAGUCUCCAGUUAUAGAGUCAAAAUAAAAGGUUAUGGCUUAGCUGUCAGCACUGUGGUGAGUUUAGACAGUUUUCAUUACAAUUUAAAUGGACUUUCCCCCCCCUAAUACUAAUGCAAAACUCACUGAAAACCUAAAUUAGGGAAAUGGGUGGUCGACCUUCCUUGGAUUGAUCACAGGAAAUUUUAUGGAAUUUCAGUUAAGCUCCUGAGACACUAACCACAGAACUUAGGGGUAGGAAAACUUAAGCAGCGUCCUGUAAGCCUGAUCUGCUUGCCCUCGCUUAUCUUCUGCGAUCUUCCCAUGAGGCUCACUUGCUGUAAACUUGAUGUAGCGAUGGAAUGCUUCAAACAUAUGUAGGAUGCUGGUCUCUGUAUAUUCACGAUAACACAAGAAAUACUCAACUAGAACUCACUGUGUUGGAGGGUGAAGUAUGCCUGGCCUCCAAACUGACCACAAGACAGUGAGUCAAGAUUUCUUCAGUAAGUAAAGAAUCAUAGUAAAUGAUUGCUAAGGAACAUUUCCAUAAAUCUUUAACAGUAUUACAGCUUGUUCCAUUACAAUUUUAUCUUUGCACACAAUGUAACCUGAACUGUCUUUCCAUGGAUGGUUUUGAGGUACAUUAUAGCUGUGGACAAUGCUCACACUUCAGUUUUCCUUUGUUCAGAUUCUAAAUUCCCAUCUGUCAUUGUUGGAAUUUUCCCUUUGGUUACUUGACAUGUGACUGUGUGAUUUCUUCAUAUCGAAGAAACUGCUAUUUUGAAAGAAUCUCAUUCAUUUUAUUCCUGCUCAUAUUAUGGCAAGAUUCUAUUUCUGUAACUUUCAUCAAAUUCUGGGAAGGAACCCCAUUCAAGGCUUAAGCUGAAUUUCCAGAUUAUAGUCAAAAAAAGGCACUCACAGAUUGGAGGAGUUAGCACAGGUCAGGCUCUCAGUAUCUGUUGAGAUUUCUUGAUUUGGAAUCUCAGUAUCUGUGGACAAAAAAGACAACAGACUCAGAAUUUUAAAUACGACUGUCAAUGUUCGGUCACUGGGGAAAAUUCCCCCAUCCCUCUCAGCUCUUGAUCUGAACAAAAAAAAGGACCACCAGGCAGAUUAGUAAGAGAGACCAAUUUUUAUUAUAUAUGGAAAAUUCAUAACAUAAGGCUGUACACUCUAAAGUGCAUGGGACAGGGUUUAUAUCCUGGGCUAGGGAGUGGGGAAGGGACCUGGGGUGCCGAGGAGGGGAGAGUCAUAUGAUCAGAACUCGCCCUGCUUUAAGAUGAGCUUCACAGAAGCUUCUGUGGCCUACGUCUCGCCUCUGCUCUGGGCCUUAAUGGAUGUCAUCCAGCCCUGGUAACUCAGGAGUGGUUUACACAAAUGGGUUGUAGAGAAGGCGGUCGCUUCUGGGCCUCCUAGGGAGCCUGGUGUGGUUAUCAAUGGCCUUGUCUGCUGACCUCUGAGUUUACUGUUGCGGGGGAGACUUUGAAUGGCUCAGGAUGAGCCAGACAUGGGAAAGGGUUGAUUAGGAGAUCUGUGGCCCCAGGCGCUAAGUGGGUUGAGGGUAGCCUCAUCUUCUUACCCUUGGCUUGGUCCUGUCUGUCCCGUAACAGUGUCUCAACUGCAGGUAGAAUAUAAGGCGUCUUGACAAAGCUUGGGUCCCGUGUCUUCCGGAGACAGCAGGAUAGCUAAUGGUUAACGUUACUCAAGACCUGAGUAAGCUGAGGACUGUCCAGAGUUGAAAAGCCUGGGCCAGUUUCGAAGAAUCAAGGAUUAUGAGACCUUUGUCAAAUUACUGACUUCCUAUCUGAAGGAAGAAAAUAAUAAAAUUCUUUAAGUUAAAAAGCAUAGUUUUCUCUCUCAGAUAAAAAUAUUUCUGGAGAUGACACUACACCUGCGUCAUCUGUAUUUUAAGUAAUGGUGGCAAUUUCUCCUGAGGCUACUCCUCUGUUCACCUGGACUCUGCGUGCUAAGGUGACACAUCGGGAAAGCCUGUCUGAACAUUUUGGGGGAGGCUGAUCCUAUGCUACAGUGAAAGCCGUGCUGCAGAAAGAAGGAAGCGCCAACAUCUGCUAGUUUAACCGAGCAGGCUCUUCAAGCUAGCAUUUCCCCCUGUAAUCAACGAAAUGACAGGCACGCCAGUCACAGAGCAACAGGAUCAUUGUCAGCCUUUGCAAGUCUACUGAAGCGAGUCAGCCCAGCCCUGAAAGAAACAGCCGCCAGUCAGGGACGACGGUCCCCCUUGGGCUGGAGUCCUAGGCAGCAAGUUGUGUGUGCCUAAGAAGAGGUUUCCUGAUUCUGAAAGAAUGGCAGAUUACUCUAAGGCUGGAAGAGUGAGACGAGAUUUUUAAGGCAAUGGACUGUGACUGAGCCAUCUACCAAUGGCCCCUGCCAGGUCAAGCCCACACAAGCAGAGCACAGAGGCCGCCUCGUCCCACCAGAGCUGCACAGUUUUUAGAUUCUUAGCCUUAAUGUCAGAACUACCUCUGCCCUUGGGUGAAGUUGAUCUGCAUGGGACGCUUCUCCAAACUGCAGCCCGGCUCCUGUGAGAAGCUCCCAAGUACUUGCUGAGUGCAUAAACUUCCAUAUGCUGUGUUCAGCCCACAGUCUCCAGGGGGCUCGUGUCCAUGCUGGGUUCCCCAAAGUUCUGUUCUACUUCGUCCCGCACUUCUUUUUCUUCAAGGAUCCCAAGUCCGUGUCCACCCUAAGACCAAGUCUUUGCCCAUGACUGGAGCAGAAGUCUCCGUGGAGGCAAAUGUCACCCAAGAUCCUUCACCCUACUUAGGAGCCCAGCAUCUGGCAAGCAACUGGUCUCUGGAAAGACUACGCAUUUGUGAUGGAAGAUGUUUGAGCACUUCCCUGUGAGCAGGAUUUAGACUGAGGGUGCCUCCUCUGUUUUCCUUCUGAGGGCACAGGAAGGAGCAAUGGCCCCUGAAAGCUGCCAAGUUAGGACCCUACUCAGACCAGCUUCCCCGGCUGUGCUCAGAGGCGUGACCAGGGCAGGCCUCUGGAGGACUGGAGCCGCUGCCCGUCAGGUCUCAAGCACUUCCCUGCCCGGAGUGCAUUUUUUGGAACUGACCGGGAACAGCUCAGGGUCAAGGCCAAGAGGAGCCACUGGAAAAUAUGAUUUAACUAAUACACUCGUCGUUGGCUCCUUGUGUCGUGGGGCCAAGAAUCUAUAGGGCCUUCCCGGCGCAGGUUGAAAAACAUCUCCAGUGGAAGGACCUUUUCCUUGUCUGCCAGGUUUUUGAGAGUUUGGGAUCUUCCGUGGAAGAUUUUUACCCUCUUUCCUGAGGGUUCUCUACACCCUCUGCUUGGCCAUCCUCGUCCUGUGCUAGACUCGACAAAAACUCCCAGCCCAGCUUUCCAGGAAUCACCAAUUGGAAGACUUGGUCUAGUUAGCGUCGCCCCAAGAAGGGGGUGUUUCAGGCCGACUUUACGGGACUGUGGGUGUUGUCUGGGUUGGUUGGCGCUUGACGUCUGUGUCCAGAAGAGGGUGCCGGGCU